RNAcentral lists this ribosomal RNA (118 nucleotides) under Petromyzon marinus (sea lamprey). Lineage: Eukaryota; Metazoa; Chordata; Hyperoartia; Petromyzontiformes; Petromyzontidae. The record is from RNAcentral.
GUCUUAAAAAUAUCACCCAGAAGACACUGAGUCUCUUCAGAUCUCGGAAGCUAAUCCGGUUGGAGCCUGGAUAGUGUUAGGAUGGGCAAGCACCAUGCAAGCCCGGUUGUCGUAGGCG